This 624-nucleotide ribosomal RNA is filed under the name uncultured fungus. RNAcentral's name for it is "LSU rRNA". It matches the Rfam family "Eukaryotic large subunit ribosomal RNA", at positions 23 to 664 of the family's 3401-position model. The record is from RNAcentral. Lineage: Eukaryota; Fungi.
ACCCGCUGAACUUAAGCAUAUCAAUAAGCGGAGGAAAAGAAACCAACAGGGAUUGCCUCAGUAACGGCGAGUGAAGCGGCAACAGCUCAAAUUUGAAAUCUGGCCCUCGGGUCCGAGUUGUAAUUUGUAGAGGGUGCUUUGGCGUUGGCUGUGGUCUAAGUUCCUUGGAACAGGACGUCGCAGAGGGUGAGAAUCCCGUAUGUGGCCGCCAGUCUUCGCCGUGUAAAGCCCCUUCGACGAGUCGAGUUGUUUGGGAAUGCAGCUCUAAAUGGGAGGUAAAUUUCUUCUAAAGCUAAAUAUCUGCCAGAGACCGAUAGCGCACAAGUAGAGUGAUCGAAAGAUGAAAAGCACUUUGGAAAGAGAGUCAAAAAGCACGUGAAAUUGUUGAAAGGGAAGCGCUUGCAGUUAGACAUGCCGUCAGUUGCUCAGCCGGGCUCUUUGCCCGGUGCACUCUUCUGUCGGCAGGCCAGCAUCAGUCUGGGCGGUUGGAUAAAGGCCUAUUAAACGUGACUCCCUCCGGGGAGAGCUUAUAGGGUAGGCGUCAUGCAACCAGCCUGGACUGAGGUCCGCGCAUCUGCUAGGAUGCUGGCGUAAUAGCUGUAAGCGGCCCGUCUUGAAACACGG